AGUGAGAAAAGCCAUGGUUUUCGUUGUCCUGUGGAGAUUGUCACUGUUCUCAGAAAUAAACAUUAGCUGUUGGCUUGCAUUUGGAGAUUCGAGGGGCACAGUUAACUGUUUGAGUAAAUGGUAGGCAGGGAGGUGUGGAUAAACUGGAAACUAAUAGAGGUACACGUGGGCAUGAGUUACUUUCAAGUGGCAUUGUCUUAUUCCAUUGUGUGCUGCUAUCACAGAAUACCACAGAUGGAGUAAUUUUAAUGGAUAGAAAUUUAUAUUGCUUACAGUUCUGGAGGUUGGGAAGUCCAAGAUGGAGAAGACAGCAUUUGGUGAGGGCUCUCUUGCUGCAUCAUAUCAUGGCAGACGUGAAAGGCAGAGGCAAGAGGAAGAGAGGGAGCGGGUACUGAGCUCCUCUUUAUAUAAGGAACCCACCCCAGUGAGAACAGGCCUCAUGGCCUAAUUACCUCUUAAAGGGCCUGCCUCUCAACACUGCUGCAAUGGGUAUAGGCUCCCAACAUGUGGACUUGGAAGGACCCAUUCAAACCACAGCAGGCACCAACCUUAAACAAUCAUUGGAGAAUCUCUAUACAAAACCCCCUAAUUCACUAUCAGGGGAUCUCAGACUUGGAGUGAGCACCAGGUGGCCCCUCAUCAAACUCCUACCUGAAGGAAUAUGUUCAGGUCAAGUAGCUCCUCACUGACUCUCAAGGCAGAACCAUAACUCUGUUAUUCAAAGUGAACCCAAAUCUGCCUCCUGAAAGCUCCAUCUGCAGGUCUUAGUUCUGCCUUUUGGAGUAGCCUAGGAAGCAUGAACAGCAGGAAAACAAGCCAGGGAGCCUGCGACCCAGGCCCAAUGCCUGAGUGCCAGUAUCUGUGGGGCUUCGAGCAAGCAUGCAAACCUCUGCCUCAGUUUCCCAGUGCCACAGUCUGGCUGGGCACAAAUCACCGAGCCGCCACAAAGCACUUGUAUGUUCAAACAGGAAACUUUAUUGCCCGAACUCCACCAGCACUCCACGCACACUCCCCGGGAACUCUCUCAGCUCUUCCCGGGGCUCCGCGCCUACCCCACUCGGACCCCUCGAGAACUCAAUGGGAACUCCAAAGUAUCAGGCACCCGGAGGCAGCAGGAACCACCCUAUUCCUGCAGCCACCCUAUUGCUGGACAGCAGGGGAUCAUAUACAACUGAAUACACAGUUUAACAUAACCAUCAUCAUCUCAAUGGCUCGCUGGCAUCACCUCUCAACCACUUCCUUCUGGCAGAAUGCCAUGCGUCUUCCGGACUCGGACUCAGCUGUGGCCCUCAAC
This 1294-nucleotide long non-coding RNA is filed under the name Marmota monax (woodchuck). The record is from RNAcentral. Lineage: Eukaryota; Metazoa; Chordata; Mammalia; Rodentia; Sciuridae.